UGUGCCAUUGCAGUUUUUAAAAAACCCUGCAUGAAACUUGCACGGGAUGAGUUUAAGGCAGCAGCAGUCCAGUUCCAAUUGAAUAGAAAAUCUGGCACAGACAAAGAAGAGGAAAUUUCCGUUCUCGGACACCACACUCCUAAUGGUAACAAAACCAAGCUUGAUAAAAAUAUUUUAGCUGUAUGAUGUAGACCUUACUCUAGUGGCUUAGAUAGGAUAUGCUUCCCCUCUCUGGCAGGAAGGGGCAGCAGCAACAGUUGGUGAAGAAAUGGAACAAGUGAACUCGACAAUGUCACGUCAUGGGGGAACGAGCAAACAUAUGACGAGUGCAGGUCGUAGAGACCAUCUAACAACUGCCAUGCAAUUUUGGAACAAGACAAAAGAUAAAAGAAUGGCCAAAAUGCUUGUUGGUCGCCUUCGUCGGGUAA
Molecule: long non-coding RNA, 428 nt
Organism: Daphnia magna
Lineage: Eukaryota; Metazoa; Arthropoda; Branchiopoda; Diplostraca; Daphniidae
Exons: 3
Source: RefSeq, a predicted model, not a curated record